GUGUUCGUAGAAAAGAGAGAUGGUUGGCAUCUCCCUCGACAAGGACGAGAACAGCCUUCGAGCUUAAACAAUAAUUAACAUAUUCAAUUGAUAGUUCUUAAUUAUAUACUUCCUCUGUCCACGAAAAAUAGUCUCAUUUU
This is a small nuclear RNA of Salvia hispanica, 140 nucleotides long. NCBI's taxonomy places the organism in Eukaryota, Viridiplantae, Streptophyta, Magnoliopsida, Lamiales, Lamiaceae. The record is from RefSeq and is a predicted model, not a curated record.